This 432-nucleotide ribosomal RNA is filed under the name uncultured bacterium. RNAcentral describes it as "bacterial SSU rRNA". It matches the Rfam family "Bacterial small subunit ribosomal RNA", at positions 29 to 507 of the family's 1533-position model. The record is from RNAcentral.
AACGAACGCUGGCGGCAGGCCUAACACAUGCAAGUCGAACGCCGUAGCAAUACGGAGUGGCAGACGGGUGAGUAACGCGUGGGAAUAUCCCCCUCAGUACGGAAUAGCCCAGGGAAACUUGGAGUAAUACCGUAUACGUCCGUGAGGAGAAAGAUUUAUCGCUGAGGGAUUAGCCCGCGUAGGAUUAGCUAGUUGGUGAGGUAAUGGCUCACCAAGGCGACGAUCCUUAGCUGGUCUGAGAGGACGAUCAGCCACACUGGGACUGAGACACGGCCCAGACUCCUACGGGAGGCAGCAGUGGGGAAUAUUGGACAAUGGGCGCAAGCCUGAUCCAGCCAUGCCGCGUGAGUGACGAAGGCCUUAGGGUUGUAAAGCUCUUUUGGCGGGGACGAUAAUGACGGUACCGCAGAAUAAGCCCCGGCUAACUUCGUG